RNAcentral lists this ribosomal RNA (404 nucleotides) under uncultured bacterium. Its description in RNAcentral is "bacterial SSU rRNA". It matches the Rfam family "Bacterial small subunit ribosomal RNA", at positions 355 to 776 of the family's 1533-position model. The record is from RNAcentral.
UGGGGGAUAUUGCACAAUGGGGGAAACCCUGAUGCAGCGACGCCGCGUGAGCGAUGAAGUAUUUCGGUAUGUAAAGCUUUAUCAGCAGGGAAGAAGAUGACGGUACCUGACCAAAAAGCCCCGGCUAACUACGCGCCAGCAGCCGCGGUAAUACGUAGGGGGCAAGCGUUAUCCGGAUUUACUGGGUGUAAAGGGAGCGUAGACGGCGAUGCAAGCCUGGAGUGAAAGGCGGGGGCUCAACCCCCGGACUGCUUUGGGAACUGCAUGGCUGGAGUGUCGGAGAGGCAGGCGGAAUUCCUAGUGUAGCGGUGAAAUGCGUAGAUAUUAGGAGGAACACCAGUGGCGAAGGCGGCCUGCUGGACGAUGACUGACGUUGAGGCUCGAAAGCGUGGGGAGCAAACAGG